Molecule: ribosomal RNA, 433 nt
Filed under: Euwallacea interjectus
Lineage: Eukaryota; Metazoa; Arthropoda; Insecta; Coleoptera; Curculionidae
Description: eukaryotic LSU rRNA
Rfam family: Eukaryotic large subunit ribosomal RNA
Source: RNAcentral
CCGACGAUGUUCUCGGACAGACCUCGUCGGCGGCGCGCGCGCGCUGCGGCGGAAUUUUCGGAUUUCGUCGUUCGUGUCGCGUCCGUCGAACAAAGAGACCGAUCGGCGACGCUAUAGCUUUGGGUACUUUCAGGACCCGUCUUGAAACACGGACCAAGGAGUCUAGCAUGUACGCGAGUCAUUGGGAUUUUUACUAAACCUAAAGGCGCAAUGAAAGUGAAGGUCUUCCUCGCGAAGACCGUGGGAAGACGGACGGGGGCAAACGUAGGUCCGAGGUACCGCUCGAUCGCCCGUCCUGCAUUCCCGGGGCGUCUCGUUCGCAUCGCGCGAAGAGGCGCACCGCGAGCGUACACGCUGGGACCCGAAAGAUGGUGAACUAUGCCUGGUCAGGACGAAGUCAGGGGAAACCCUGAUGGAGGUCCGUAGCGAUUCU